This is a long non-coding RNA of Trifolium pratense (red clover), 1046 nucleotides long. RefSeq lists it as uncharacterized. The transcript is spliced from 2 exons. NCBI's taxonomy places the organism in Eukaryota, Viridiplantae, Streptophyta, Magnoliopsida, Fabales, Fabaceae. The record is from RefSeq and is a predicted model, not a curated record.
ACCGGUAACUCCAUGGUUUGGCUAUCAGAGACUCUUAAUUUGUGCUCUAACCAGUUUGCAAAAUUCAUGUUUAGACAUGAGCCAAACCAGAUUUUCGCCGCUCUAUAACAAUUCAUGAAACUAUGGUUGAUAGAUUUUAUUUUGUUGCUGCAUCUAGGACAAACAAUAGGACAAGUAAUCCCUCUUUUACAUAAUUCUUCUCUAACUAGAAUCGCACAGUAUUGUUUGUUUGUUAUUUGAAACACUUGGAUUUUCAGCUCUUUUCCACUGCUUCAUGUUAUAGUAGCCCGAUCUAACCGUGUACCUACCGUCCUUGGUUCCGUUGCAGCAAAAACUAUCCUCCUUACUAAUAUGAAUUUGUUUUAUUUGCUCUACCUCAAAGUUGUAGAACAUAUUAUCAAUAAUGUUGUGGUUCCAACUAUUAGUUCCCUCAUCCAAUGUCUUAUGUGUUAGGACUUUAAACCCAUUUUGGUAAUGCAACCAAUUGUCUUGCCACAUAUUAAUCGAAUUUCCAUAACCCACCAACCAAUAACAAUCUUUCUUUUGGAUCCAGUUAGCAUGUUGAAUGGUUUGCCAAGUGUAGCUAGGUUUGCUGCCCAAAGAAGCUUUAAGGAAAACCUUUCUAGAGUAGUAUCUAGUUUUCAAAAAAUCAUUGAAAUAAGGUUCUCAAGCUGGGUUAGUUUAUUAUGUCAAGAACAAUGACAGUGCAAAUUGGUAUACUGCGGUAAAAGUCAAAGCAAGAAAUGUUUUUGAUUUUCCACAAGAUGAAGAUGACUCAGAGCCAUAUCAAUUGAAUGAGUUCAACAAUACACGUAUAGCAGGAGAAGCUUCAUCAUUGGACCAAGCUGAGAUUCUAAAUAGAUAUGAUAUUGAUGGAACAUACUUAGCUGAACAUAUUGUUAGUCAAGCAGAAGAGCUCGGAGAAUCAGACGAUGCAAGUGACUUUGAUACUGAUGAUGAUUACGAAGAUGAAUCUUCUAUAGAUGAGGAUGAUUAUGUAGAGAAUGUAAACUCUGAGCCAGAAUAAAAAGAUUUUUUUAGUACUA